RNAcentral lists this small RNA (119 nucleotides) under Salmonella enterica subsp. enterica. RNAcentral's name for it is "RtT sRNA". It matches the Rfam family "RtT RNA". From Rfam's summary of the family: This family represents a bacterial cis-regulatory element known as RtT RNA. Lineage: Bacteria; Pseudomonadati; Pseudomonadota; Gammaproteobacteria; Enterobacterales; Enterobacteriaceae. The record is from RNAcentral.
UGCAUCUGAAGUCUGACGAGGAUGAGAACCUCCGGGGGCAAGAGGUUCGACCCGAGCGAAGCGAGAGAACGUUGCGCCAGCAACGGCCCGCAGGGCGAGCCAUCCUCUAUCACCGGCAG